CAUGUUUUGAGUAAGCCAUUUCAUUAUUUUUUGGAAUGAUUGUGAUAAUGACAUUUAAACAAUGAUUAAUUUGGUAAAAUAAUUCAAGCUACUAUUUUAGAAACAAGACAAAAUCAAGCUACGAAAAGUUGAAUCUACCUCAUACCUGGGCAUGUAUAUCAUGAGUACGUGUCUGGAUGACUAGAUUGCAACCAUGCACUGAGCACAAGCUCGUCACGUGUGAUUUCGUGCUCAUCGUAAUU
RNAcentral lists this long non-coding RNA (242 nucleotides) under Brassica napus (rape). Its description in RNAcentral is "long non-coding RNA (BNAP_LNC009356)". The record is from RNAcentral. Lineage: Eukaryota; Viridiplantae; Streptophyta; Magnoliopsida; Brassicales; Brassicaceae.